UACGUAGGGUGCAAGCGUUAAUCGGAAUUACUGGGCGUAAAGCGUGCGCAGGCGGUUUACUAAGACAGGUGUGAAAUCCCCGGGCUUAACCUGGGAAUGGCGCUUGUGACUGGUAGGCUAGAGUACGUCAGAGGGGGGUGGAAUGCCGCGUGUAGCAGUGAAAUGCGUAGAGAUGCGGCGGAACACCGAUGGCGAAGGCAGCCCCCUGGGCUGAGAUUGACGCUCAGGCACGAAAGCGUGGGGAGCAAACAGG
Molecule: ribosomal RNA, 253 nt
Filed under: uncultured bacterium
Lineage: Bacteria
Description: partial 16S ribosomal RNA
Rfam family: Bacterial small subunit ribosomal RNA
Source: RNAcentral